GUCGUAACAAGGUUUCCGUAGGUGAACCUGCGGAAGGAUCAUUACAGAAUGAAAAGUGCUUAACUGCAUUUUUUCUUACACAUGUGUUUUUCUUUUUUUGAAAACUUUGCUUUGGUAGGCCUUCUAUAUGGGGCCUGCCAGAGAUUAAACUCAACCAAAUUUUAUUUAAUGUCAACCGAUUAUUUAAUAGUCAAAACUUUCAACAACGGAUCUCUUGGUUCUCGCAUCGAUGAAGAACGCAGCGAAAUGCGAUAAGUAAUAUGAAUUGCAGAUAUUCGUGAAUCAUCGAAUCUUUGAACGCACAUUGCGCCCUUUGGUAUUCCAAAGGGCAUGCCUGUUUGAGCGUCAUUUCUCCCUCAAACCCUCGGGUUUGGUGUUGAGCGAUACGCUGGGUUUGCUUGAAAGAAAGGCGGAGUAUAAACUAAUGGAUAGGUUUUUUCCACUCAUUGGUACAAACUCCAAAACUUCUUCCAAAUUCGACCUCAAAUCAGGU
This 493-nucleotide ribosomal RNA is filed under the name Lodderomyces parapsilosis. RNAcentral describes it as "eukaryotic LSU rRNA". The stretch from base 195 to 348 matches the Rfam family "5.8S ribosomal RNA". Lineage: Eukaryota; Fungi; Ascomycota; Pichiomycetes; Serinales; Debaryomycetaceae. The record is from RNAcentral.